This 75-nucleotide transfer RNA is filed under the name Candidatus Peribacteria bacterium RIFCSPHIGHO2_02_FULL_51_15. RNAcentral describes it as "tRNA-Gln". It matches the Rfam family "tRNA". Rfam says of the family: Transfer RNA (tRNA) molecules are approximately 80 nucleotides in length. Their secondary structure includes four short double-helical elements and three loops (D, anti-codon, and T loops). The record is from RNAcentral. Lineage: Bacteria; Candidatus Peregrinibacteriota; Candidatus Peribacteria. RNAcentral also lists the same sequence under 1 other name.
UGGGGAGUCGCCAAGCGGUAAGGCAGCGGCCUUUGAAGCCGCCAUACGAUGGUUCGAAUCCAUCCUCCCCAGCCA